UUAUAUGAAUAUUUUUUAAUUGAGUUUGAUUUGGAAGAGGAGAGUCUUGCUGUGGUCAAUGUGCCUCCCGGUACAGAGGAACUCCUCAAUCAUCAGAUCAUCCUGGCUGAGGAUGGCGCUAUUGGCUUUGCCGUUUUGUCUUAUCCGCAUUUUCAAAUGUGGCAGAGAAACACGAACAGUCAUGGUGUUGGCACAUGGGUGCCGUGGAAAACCAUUCAAAUGCACACCAUUCUAGGCCUCCCUCCCCAGCUUGAGUUACCGAUAAUGAAAACUAUAUUGUGCUAUGAUGAGGAUACUGAUACAAUUUUUGUGUCUGUGGAUGAGAAUGUAUACAUGGUUCAACUCAAGUCGAUGCAAUCCAAGAGACUUUAUACAACCGAGAGUGUCUAUGGCUUCUAUCCUUUCAAGAGUUUCUAUCCACCAGGUGAUUGC
RNAcentral lists this ribosomal RNA (432 nucleotides) under Triticum aestivum (bread wheat). RNAcentral describes it as "partial small subunit ribosomal RNA". The record is from RNAcentral. Lineage: Eukaryota; Viridiplantae; Streptophyta; Magnoliopsida; Poales; Poaceae.